This 253-nucleotide ribosomal RNA is filed under the name uncultured bacterium. Its description in RNAcentral is "partial 16S ribosomal RNA". It matches the Rfam family "Bacterial small subunit ribosomal RNA", at positions 524 to 776 of the family's 1533-position model. The record is from RNAcentral.
UACGUAGGGGGCGAGCGUUGUCCGAAGUUACUGGGCGUAAAGCGCACGUAGGCGGCUUAGCAAGUCGGAUGUGAAAUCCCUCGGCUCAACCAAGGAAGUGCAUCCGAAACUGCUGAGCUUGAGUACGAAAGAGGAUCGCGGAAUUCCCGGUGUAGAGGUGAAAUUCGUAGAUAUCGGGAGGAACACCAGUGGCGAAGGCGGCGAUCUGGGUCGAUACUGACGCUGAGGUGCGAAAGCGUGGGGAGCAAACAGG